Molecule: long non-coding RNA, 1372 nt
Filed under: Anolis carolinensis (green anole)
Lineage: Eukaryota; Metazoa; Chordata; Lepidosauria; Squamata; Anolidae
Description: lncRNA (ENSACAG00000038929.1)
Source: RNAcentral
UGAGUAGACCAGUUCCGUUCCGUAGAUCAAAGCCAGAAGCAGACGUUUGUAGUUUUUCCAAGUCCAAGAAGGGGGGAAGACAAGCCGUGGUCAGUUCAGUCCGAGUUCUCAAAGCAGGAGAUGGCGUCCGUCAAGAAGACGACGGAAGGUCAAGCUAAUAAGAGUAAGCACAGGUUUGCACAAACAAAUGCCCACACAAUCCCUCCCGCCGUCUGACCCUGGAUUCCAAUCAACUUACGUCACAGCACAGGAAAGCACACAAGUCUUCAGGGAAGCGUCCCACACACACACGGAUCCCAAGCGUUUGCCCAGAUUACCUUGCCCAACGCAAUUUGCAAUUGCUCUCAAGCCCCAUUUUAUGCCAGUACAAAUCUUCAUCACUGUCAGCUGUCCUCCUUAACCCGGGCGUUUCCUCAUCACUUUCCUCGUCAGAGCUGGAACACCUCUGACUACGCCCAACAGCAUCUCCAGCUGUGGAUCCUGUCCUCCUUAACCCGGGCGUUUCCUCAUCACUGUCAGCUGUCCUCCUUAACCCGGGCGUUUCCUCAUCACUUUCCUCGUCAGAGCUGGAACACCUCUGACUACGCCCAACAGCAUCUCCAGCUGUGGAUCCCGUCCCAUCCCUCCAGCUGGAACACCUCUGACUACGCCCAACAGCAUCUCCAGCUGUGGAUCCCGUCCCAUCCCUCCAGCUAAACCAUGGGUCUAAUCCUGAAGGUCCCCAUUCAUCUUCUGUCCCAUCAUGGCCAGUGGCACCCACUUCCUCCCUUACCCGAGUCCAAUCCAUCUCAUCCUCCUCUGAGCUAACCAGCCCCUCCUCCAUUCUCUCCGUAAACCCUUCGAAAGACUCCUCGUCAGAUGGUGCUGCAAAUAUGUCUCGCAGUCUUUUUCUCUCUCGCUCCUCGAGAGUAUCUGACUCUCGAGGAGUCUUACGCCCACGUCUGUCAGUAACAGAGCCAUGAGGCUCAAUCAUAACACUAUCCCCUCUCACAAAGGCCUCCUCCCCCGAUGGCGGAGAAGUGGCAGUGAUACCCUCCGCUAUAGCACCACGACGACUAGAGGUAUCAAGUUUCAACAACUGAGCUUGAGAUGGAAGUGGAACCAAGAGAAGGGCCUCUCCUGAAGAUCUCAGGGCCUGAACAGGUUUGUACAAAGGGAUGCAGUCAGCCAAAUAGCUUGGACCGGAACCAUCUAGAGCUUUAAAGGUCUUAACCAGCACUUUGAAUUGUGCCCAGAAAUAGACUGGCAGCCAGUGGAGUUGCUUCAGCAGUGGGAUUGUCCACUCCCUGUAGCCAGCCCCAGUGAGCAACCCGGCUGCAGGUCUAUGGACCAGCUGAAGUUUCCAAGCACUCUUCAGAGGCAGCCCCACGUA